UGGCGGAAGCGGGGGUACCGCCGGCGCCGCAACGGGCCGAAGGUUGAGACAGUCCCUUGGAACCUGAUCCGGCUGAUACCGGCGUAGGGAAGCUUUCGCAGGACCUUC
Molecule: non-coding RNA, 108 nt
Filed under: Pseudoxanthomonas suwonensis
Lineage: Bacteria; Pseudomonadati; Pseudomonadota; Gammaproteobacteria; Lysobacterales; Lysobacteraceae
Description: TPP sequence
Rfam family: TPP riboswitch aptamer (THI element)
About the family: Vitamin B(1) in its active form thiamin pyrophosphate (TPP) is an essential coenzyme that is synthesised by coupling of pyrimidine and thiazole moieties in bacteria.
Source: Rfam by way of RNAcentral